Molecule: ribosomal RNA, 253 nt
Filed under: uncultured bacterium
Lineage: Bacteria
Description: partial 16S ribosomal RNA
Rfam family: Bacterial small subunit ribosomal RNA
Source: RNAcentral
UACGUAGGGAGCAAGCGUUGUCCGGAAUCAUUGGGCGUAAAGCGCGCGUAGGCGGCCCUGUAAGUCCGCUGUGAAAGUCAAAGGCUCAACCUUUGAAUGCCGGUGGAUACUGCAGGGCUAGAGUCCGGAAGAGGCGAGUGGAAUUCCUGGUGUAGCGGUGGAAUGCGCAGAUAUCAGGAGGAACACCAACGGCGAAGGCAGCUCGCUGGGACGGUACUGACGCUAAGGCGCGAAAGCUAGGGGAGCAAACGGG